RNAcentral lists this ribosomal RNA (497 nucleotides) under Proxys albopunctulatus. RNAcentral's name for it is "partial 16S ribosomal RNA". It matches the Rfam family "Archaeal large subunit ribosomal RNA", at positions 1903 to 2634 of the family's 2987-position model. The record is from RNAcentral. Lineage: Eukaryota; Metazoa; Arthropoda; Insecta; Hemiptera; Pentatomidae.
AAACAUGUCCUAAUGUUAUAUUUUAUUUUAGGUCUAACCUGCUCAAUGAUUUAUUAAUUAAAUUAAAUAGCCGCAGUAUUUUGACUGUGCGAAGGUAGCAUAAUCAUUUGUCUUUUAAUUGAAGGCUUGUAUGAAUGGUUGGAUGAGGGAAUGACUUUCUUUAUAUUAUAUAUUGAAUUUAAUUUUUAGGUUAAAAAGCUUAAAUUUAUAAGUGGGACGAGAAGACCCUAUAGAAUUUUAUUGGUUUUAUUAUAUUGAAAUUUUUGGAUAUAAUGUUUUUUUAUAUUAAAGAUAAUUUUGUUGGGGUGACAGUGAGAUUUUUUUAACUCUCAUAAUUUAUUAUUAUUACUUAUUUGUAUGUUAAAGAUCCUAUUUUAUGGAUAUUUAGAUUAAAUUACCUUAGGGAUAACAGCGUAAUUUUUCUGGAGAGUUCUUAUCGAUAGAAGAGUUUGCGACCUCGAUGUUGGAUUAAAAUUAGAUUUAAGUGCAGAAGCUAA